AGAUAUAGUUUAACAAAAACACUAGAUUGUGAUUCUAAAAAUAGGGGUUAAAACCCUCUUACCCACC
RNAcentral lists this transfer RNA (67 nucleotides) under Milyeringa justitia. Its description in RNAcentral is "tRNA-His". The stretch from base 4 to 61 matches the Rfam family "tRNA", at positions 6 to 65 of the family's 71-position model. Rfam says of the family: Transfer RNA (tRNA) molecules are approximately 80 nucleotides in length. Lineage: Eukaryota; Metazoa; Chordata; Actinopteri; Gobiiformes; Milyeringidae. The record is from RNAcentral.